GUGCGCAGGCGGUUAGUGCAAGACAGAUGUGAAAUACCCCGGGCCGUCAACCUGGGAACUGCAUUUGUUGACUGCAUAGCUAGAGUACGGUAGAGGGGGAUGGAAUUCCGCGUGUAGCAGUGAAAUGCGUAGAUAUGCGGAGGAACACCGAUGGCGAAGGCAAUCCCCUGGACCUGUACUGACGCUCAUGCACGAAAGCGUGGGGAGCAAACAGGAUUAGAUACCCGAGU
This 230-nucleotide ribosomal RNA is filed under the name uncultured bacterium. Its description in RNAcentral is "partial 16S ribosomal RNA". It matches the Rfam family "Bacterial small subunit ribosomal RNA", at positions 567 to 791 of the family's 1533-position model. The record is from RNAcentral.